RNAcentral lists this ribosomal RNA (468 nucleotides) under uncultured bacterium. RNAcentral describes it as "partial 16S ribosomal RNA". It matches the Rfam family "Bacterial small subunit ribosomal RNA", at positions 28 to 507 of the family's 1533-position model. The record is from RNAcentral.
GACGAACGCUGGCGGCGUGCUUAACACAUGCCAGUCGAACGGAAAGGCCCUGCUUUUGUGGGGUGCUCGAGUGGCGAACGGGUGAGUAACACGUGAGUAACCUGCCCUUGACUUUGGGAUAACUUCAGGAAACUGGGGCUAAUACCGGAUAGGAGCUCCUGCUGCAUGGUGGGGGUUGGAAAGUUUCGGCAGUUGGGGAUGGACUCGCGGCUUAUCAGCUUGUUGGUGGGGUAGUGGCUUACCAAGGCUUUGACGGGUAGCCGGCCUGAGAGGGUGACCGGCCACAUUGGGACUGAGAUACGGCCCAGACUCCUACGGGAGGCAGCAGUGGGGAAUAUUGCACAAUGGGCGGAAGCCUGAUGCAGCAACGCCGCGUGCGGGAUGACGGCCUUCGGGUUGUAAACCGCUUUCGCCUGUGACGAAGCGUGAGUGACGGUAAUGGGUAAAGAAGCACCGGCUAACUACGUG